AAGGAUUUAAGUUAAAAAAACUAGUAACCUUCAAAGUUGCCAAUAGAAACAGGCUCUAAGCCUUA
RNAcentral lists this transfer RNA (65 nucleotides) under Lymexylon navale. RNAcentral describes it as "tRNA-Trp". Lineage: Eukaryota; Metazoa; Arthropoda; Insecta; Coleoptera; Lymexylidae. The record is from RNAcentral.